RNAcentral lists this ribosomal RNA (253 nucleotides) under uncultured bacterium. RNAcentral describes it as "partial 16S ribosomal RNA". It matches the Rfam family "Bacterial small subunit ribosomal RNA", at positions 524 to 776 of the family's 1533-position model. The record is from RNAcentral.
UACAGAGGGGGCAAGCGUUGUUCGGAAUUACUGGGCGUAAAGCGCGUGUAGGUGGCGGCCUAAGUACCUUGUGAAAUCCUGCGGCUCAACCGCAGAACUGCUUGGUAUACUGGGUCGCUUGAGCCAUCCAGGGGCAACUGGAACAAGCGGUGGAGCGGUGAAAUGCGUAGAUAUCGCUUGGAACGCCAAAGGUGAAAACAGGUUGCUGGGGAUGCGCUGACACUGAGACGCGAAAGCCAGGGGAGCGAACGGG